GCAUUAGUGGUGUAGCGGUAACAUACUUGCCUUCCAUGCUCGUCUGCGAGCAAGUGCUCUGGGUUCGACUCCCAGCUAAUGCA
This 83-nucleotide transfer RNA is filed under the name Aspergillus leporis. It matches the Rfam family "tRNA". Rfam says of the family: Transfer RNA (tRNA) molecules are approximately 80 nucleotides in length. Lineage: Eukaryota; Fungi; Ascomycota; Eurotiomycetes; Eurotiales; Aspergillaceae. The record is from Rfam by way of RNAcentral.